Molecule: ribosomal RNA, 468 nt
Filed under: uncultured bacterium
Lineage: Bacteria
Description: partial 16S ribosomal RNA
Rfam family: Bacterial small subunit ribosomal RNA
Source: RNAcentral
GACGAACGCUGGCGGCGUGCUUAACACAUGCAAGUCGAACGGAAAGGCCCUGCUUUUGCGGGGUGCUCGAGUGGCGAACGGGUGAGUAACACGUGAGUAACCCGCACCUGACAUUGGGAUAACUCCAGGAAACAGGGGCUAAUAUCGGAUAGGAGAUCCUGCUGCGUGGGGGGGGAUGGAAAGAUUCGGCGGUUGUGGCUGGUCUGGAGGCUUAUGCGCUUGUUGGGGGGGUAGGGGCUUACCAAGGCUUUGACGGAUAGCCGGCCUGGGAGCGGGGCCGGCCACAUUGGGCCUGCGGUACGGCGCAGUCUGCUACGGGAGGCAGCAGUGGGGAGUAUUGCGCAGUGGGCCGAAGCCUGAUGCAGCAGCCCCCCGUUCGUAAUGACCGCCUUCGGGUGGUGAACCGCUUUCGCCUUUGACGAGGCGUGAGUGACGGUAAUGGGUAAAAAAGCACCGGCUAACUACGUG